GAUGAACGCUGGCGGCGUGCCUAAUACAUGCAAGUCGAACGGGGAGUAGCAAUACUCUUAGUGGCGAACGGGUGAGUAACGCGUUGGUACCUGCCCCGAAGCGGGGGAUAACGGACCGAAAGGUCCGCUAAUACCCCAUGUGCUCGGUAACGAGUAAAGGUGAAAACCACUUUGGGAGGGGCCUGCGUCCCAUCAGCUAGUUGGUAAGGUAACGGCUUACCAAGGCGAUGACGGGCAGGGGACCUGAGAGGGUGGCCCCCCACAAUGGAACUGAAACACGGUCCAUACACCUACGGGUGGCAGCAGUAGGGAAUAUUGGUAAUGGGCGCAAGCCUGAACCAGCAACGCCGCGUGUGCGAUGACGGCCUUCGGGUUGUAAAGCACUUUUGACUGGGACGAGGAAGGACGGUACCGGUCGAAUCAGCCUCGGCUAACUACGUG
Molecule: ribosomal RNA, 441 nt
Filed under: uncultured bacterium
Lineage: Bacteria
Description: partial 16S ribosomal RNA
Rfam family: Bacterial small subunit ribosomal RNA
Source: RNAcentral